AUUGAACGCUGGCGGCAUGCUUUACACAUGCAAGUCGAACGGCAGCGCGGGCUUCGGCCUGGCGGCGAGUGGCGAACGGGUGAGUAAUGCAUCGGAACGUGCCCAGUAGUGGGGGAUAGCCCGGCGAAAGCCGGAUUAAUACCGCAUACGACCUGAGGGUGAAAGCGGGGGACCGAAAGGCCUCGCGCUAUUGGAGCGGCCGAUGUCGGAUUAGCUAGUUGGUGGGGUAAAGGCUUACCAAGGCGACGAUCCGUAGCUGGUCUGAGAGGACGACCAGCCACACUGGGCCUGAGACACGGCCCAGACUCCUACGGGAGGCAGCAGUGGGGAAUUUUGGACAAUGGGGGCAACCCUGAUCCAGCCAUGCCGCGUGCGGGAAGAAGGCCUUCGGGUUGUAAACCGCUUUUGUUCGGGAAGAAAUCCUCUGGGCUAAUACCCCGGGGGGAUGACGGUACCGGAAGAAUAAGCACCGGCUAACUACGU
This 483-nucleotide ribosomal RNA is filed under the name uncultured bacterium. RNAcentral describes it as "partial 16S ribosomal RNA". It matches the Rfam family "Bacterial small subunit ribosomal RNA", at positions 28 to 506 of the family's 1533-position model. The record is from RNAcentral.